Molecule: ribosomal RNA, 512 nt
Filed under: uncultured bacterium
Lineage: Bacteria
Description: partial 16S ribosomal RNA
Rfam family: Bacterial small subunit ribosomal RNA
Source: RNAcentral
GAUGAACGCUGGCGGCGUGCCUAAUACAUGCAAGUCGAACGAAACUUCUUUAUCACCGAGUGCUUGCGCUCACCGAUAAAGAGUUGAGUGGCGAACGGGUGAGUAACACGUGGGCAACCUGCCCAAAAGAGGGGGAUAACACUUGGAAACAGGUGCUAAUACCGCAUAACCAUAGUUACCGCAUGGUAACUAUGUAAAAGGUGGCUAUACUACCGCCUUUGGAUGGGCCCGCGGCGCAUUAGCUAGUUGGUAGGGUAAAGGCUUACCAAGGCAAUGAUGCGUAGCCGAAUUGAGAGGUUGAUCGGCCACAUUGGGACUGAGACACGGCCCAAACUCCUACGGGAGGCAGCAGUAGGGAAUCUUCCACAAUGGGCGAAAGCCUGAUGGAGCAACGCCGCGUGGGUGAAGAAGGUCUUCGGAUCGUAAAACCCUGUUGUUAGAGAAGAAAGUGCGUGAGAGUAACUGUUCACGUUUCGACGGUAUCUAACCAGAAAGCCACGGCUAACUACGUG